CUGACCUCCGAUCAGUGUGUUCUGAUCUCAUCAUCCUUCAGUUCAUGAACAAACAUUCUAUUUUCACUUUUAGGAUAUACACAGAGGAUUAUUUGGUGCCAGUCAGACUGUGAGGACUGCUCACAAAAACACUGCUGAUUUCUUUCACCUGAAUUCAUCUCAUCACUUUUGCAGACACCAUGGGUGCUCGACAGUCCGCCAUUCAUAUUACCAACAAGACUGAGGGCUACACCCUUCGUAACCCCAGUCUGCAUCUUGUUAGCGGACUCUGCCAGAUUCCUUUGCCAACAAAACUUGAGCCUUCUGAAUCUGGCAACGCUCUGUUCUCUAAGAUUGGUGGCACAGCGUGUGGAUCUGUUGGAGUCUUCACCUACGAUCUCUACAAUCCAGCUAGAGACAGAGCUGAUAAGAAAAUAGCCGUCAUGUUCUCUGUUCCUUUUGACUACGGCCGGUACUCUAACUGGUUUGCAGUCGGAGCUUUUGACAGGGAAACAAACUGUGAUAAUGAUCUUUAUCACAAGAUGUAUUACAGGGAUGAGAGUAGAUUUGUUAGAAGAAAAGCUGAUGGUCAUGAUCUGAAACACAGAGAUGAUGAUGUUGUUGUUACAUUGGGCAUGACAAACUCCAGCGUUGCAACACUGAAAGUUGGUGUACACAACAGGGAGCAAAUCUAAUUAUUAAAAUGAGAGGUUAAAAUGAAAGGUCUUACUGUUUUUAGGGCAGAUCUAGCAAAAUGACUUGAUCACCCAUCAUCUGUAUUAUCUGGAUUUACUCACCCCAAGGCUGAUGAUCAGGAUAUCAGCUGGUUAAGGGCCCCAGGGCUUCCCUUUCUUCUACAGAAAAUCAUCCUUAUAACAUCUAGACCAAAGAUAUGCCAGUAAAACACAACACUGUUGUAAAAGGACAUCUGAUUAAGGCUGCAGCUGUUUGAGAUUGUAAACCAGCUUCACAGUACAGAAAAAUCAGGUUAAUCCUCUGGAGUUAAAACCUUUAAAAAUUAGCUUUGACAUUGAAUCACUAAAUAUCAGCUAAAGCAGGCAUAACAUGGUCACAUAGAUGGGAUGUUGGAUAAUUGAUCAAAUCAGACUGAACCUCUCCACACAGCAACAUCUCCAGUGUUUAAUUAACACUGGAGAGAGUGUAUAUGUGUCCACUCCUCUGAGUGUUAAAUAUAACACUGUUGAUUGUUGAGCAGUGCUGAUUUUCUAACACUGGAAAAUAACUCAAAAUGUUAGAAAUAUUCCAGUGUUAGAAAAUCAGCACUGCUCAGUGUUAGUCAUUGUAAAUCUUCAGAACUGGUUACUUUUAAAAAUAUAACACUCUCAAAAGUGUUCAUUUAACACUCAACAGUGUUAUAUUUAACACUCAGAGGAGUGGACACAUAUACACACUCUAUAGUGUUAAUUUAACACUGGAGAUUUUGCUGAGCACCAAAUAUUAUUGAAAUCCUCACUAAACUGUGAGGGUGUAGUGGAAGAUUUUUGGCAUUUAAUAAUCUUUUACUGUUUCUGCUGGAAAUACUUUCUGAGAAAUACUGAUUUUAUGUUUCCUGUGCAUAACUUUAAACAAAUGAAUAAAGAAAUAAACCAGACUUUAUUGAAACCGUCUCUUUGCUUUAUUCACUGACAUUUCUUCCACUUUAUUGAAUUUUGUGAAAAAUGUGUAAUUCUUUCAACAAUAUAAAUCGAAUUUUGACAGACAUGUUCACAGUAUUGCUGUAUGGAAAGAUCAGUCUUGGUCUUCCUUGGACUCUU
Molecule: long non-coding RNA, 1754 nt
Organism: Oreochromis niloticus (Nile tilapia)
Lineage: Eukaryota; Metazoa; Chordata; Actinopteri; Cichliformes; Cichlidae
Exons: 3
Source: RefSeq, a predicted model, not a curated record